UUAUGGGGCAUUAAAGUAAUGGCCCUACCACAUAGAAAGUGAGAAGAGUUGCAGAGUAGGUGAAAAGGAUAUUGUAUAGACUUGAGAGACAAAGAUAUGGGCUAUAGGCUAGUUCAUAUGGGGAUACAUGAGAUGGCCAAAACCUCUAUGUAAUCUUUCACCUCCUUUACAUGUUCCCCUGCAAGUAAUAAGUGCCAUGUCAUUAUUUUGUUUCUUUUAUGGAGAAAGUUAGGGAGAAAUCUCACUAUGUUAGGAAGCUUAUAGGUGCUUAUUGGAGUGUUCUUGCAAGGCUUUUUUAGCCACCUAGGGACGGGCGCUAUAGAAAGCUUGUUUGACAAGUUCAGCGGCAAGGGGUAGAUAGAUGCACAGGUGUGCCACCAGUAUUUGAGUAACCGGAAAGAGGAUAACUGAAAGGAUGAUGAUUUGAAUACUGUGAAUCCAGGUUAUUUGACCUUCAAGAACUUUCGCUACUGUCACAUCGUCUGUUCGUAGGUAGAUGGAUAGGAUUGGAUAGCGUGUAGUCUGAGCUACAUAGAAUAGA
Molecule: long non-coding RNA, 541 nt
Filed under: Phoenix dactylifera (date palm)
Lineage: Eukaryota; Viridiplantae; Streptophyta; Magnoliopsida; Arecales; Arecaceae
Description: long non-coding RNA (PDAC_LNC022153)
Source: RNAcentral